GCUUGUCUCAAAGAUUAAGCCAUGCAUGUCUCAGAAUAAAUCUCUAUACGUUGAAUCUGCAAAUGGCUCUUUAAAACAGUUAUUGUUUACUUGAUGGUCAUUCCUUACAUGGAUAACUGUGGUAAUUCUAGAGCUAAUACAUGCGUCAGAACCCAACUUUACGGAAGGGUCGUGUUUAUUAGAUACAAAACCAACAUCUCGUUGGUGAUUCAUAAUAACCAAGCGAAUCGUCGGUUUACCGACGAUAGAUCGUUCAAGUUUCUGACCUAUCAGCUUUGGUCGGUAGGGUAUUGGCCUACCGAGGCAAUGACGGGUAACGGAGAAUUAGGGUUCGAUUCCGGAGAGGGAGCCUGAGAAACGGCUACCACAUCUAAGGAAGGCAGCAGG
Molecule: ribosomal RNA, 387 nt
Filed under: uncultured Prorocentrum
Lineage: Eukaryota; Dinophyceae; Prorocentrales; Prorocentraceae
Description: partial small subunit ribosomal RNA
Rfam family: Eukaryotic small subunit ribosomal RNA
Source: RNAcentral